Molecule: non-coding RNA, 45 nt
Organism: Schistosoma margrebowiei
Lineage: Eukaryota; Metazoa; Platyhelminthes; Trematoda; Strigeidida; Schistosomatidae
Source: Rfam
AUGUGGUUGGCGAGUCCCAAAUAGGACGAAACGCGCGUCCUGGAU